UUUCACUUGGUUCUGACUGUAAAUGAUACAUUUACAGUUAAACACUGUUAGGCUAAUAUUGGCAGUUUGCAAGAGGAUAGGCAUUUGAUGGCGGGAGGAGGAGAGCGAACCCAGCAUUCAUCCACUCAAUAAAGAGAUCGAAUCAACCUUGAAGUGAGGUGAGGAGAGAAAGCUGCAAAAACAACAUUUUGAUGCUUCCUGGGGAUCAACCCAACGUCUGGCACAAAGGCCACAAAGUGGAUCAGUCCAAGAAGUGGGAAGGUGCAAGAGAAGUGGAACAGCAAUGUCAACCUUCAUGUCUCUGCACUUCUAAAAAGG
This is a long non-coding RNA of Solea solea (common sole), 318 nucleotides long. RefSeq lists it as uncharacterized. The transcript has 3 exons. Lineage: Eukaryota; Metazoa; Chordata; Actinopteri; Pleuronectiformes; Soleidae. The record is from RefSeq and is a predicted model, not a curated record.